CCCCAGACUCCUACGGGAGGCAGCAGUGGGGAAUAUUGCACAAUGGGGGGAACCCUGAUGCAGCGACGCCGCGUGGGUGAAGGAGCGUUUCGGCGCGUAAAGCCCUCUCGGCAGGGAAGAAGGAGGACGGUACCUGACUAAGAAGCCCCGGCUAACUACGUGCCAGCAGCCGCGGUAAUACGUAGGGGGCAAGCGUUAUCCGGAUUUACUGGGGGUAAAGGGGGCGCAGACGGCAAUGCAAGCCAGGAGUGGAAGCCCGGGGCCCAACCCCGGGACUGCUCUUGGAACUGCAUGGCUGGAGUACAGGAGGGGCAGGCGGAAUUCCUGGUGUAGCGGUGAAAUGCGUAGAUAUCAGGAGGAACACCGGUGGCGAAGGCGGCCUGCUGGACUGCAACUGACGUUGAGGCCCGAAAGCGUGGGGAGCAAACAGGAUUAGAUACCCGGGUAAUU
This 450-nucleotide ribosomal RNA is filed under the name uncultured bacterium. Its description in RNAcentral is "partial 16S ribosomal RNA". It matches the Rfam family "Bacterial small subunit ribosomal RNA", at positions 329 to 795 of the family's 1533-position model. The record is from RNAcentral.